This is a small nuclear RNA of Suncus etruscus (white-toothed pygmy shrew), 121 nucleotides long. RefSeq annotates it as U4atac minor spliceosomal RNA. The record is from RefSeq and is a predicted model, not a curated record. Lineage: Eukaryota; Metazoa; Chordata; Mammalia; Eulipotyphla; Soricidae. The transcript has a single exon.
AUUAUCCUUUUCUUGGAGUUGCAUAACUGUCCAGUGAACAUCCAGUGAGGGCAGUACUCUAACGCCUAAGCAACACAUGAGCAUCAGAACUUUGCUUUAUCUUGGUACAAUUUUUGGAAAA